RNAcentral lists this ribosomal RNA (1517 nucleotides) under Bacteroides fragilis HMW 615. RNAcentral's name for it is "bacterial SSU rRNA". It matches the Rfam family "Bacterial small subunit ribosomal RNA". The record is from RNAcentral. Lineage: Bacteria; Pseudomonadati; Bacteroidota; Bacteroidia; Bacteroidales; Bacteroidaceae.
AGAGUUUGAUCCUGGCUCAGGAUGAACGCUAGCUACAGGCUUAACACAUGCAAGUCGAGGGGCAUCAGGAAGAAAGCUUGCUUUCUUUGCUGGCGACCGGCGCACGGGUGAGUAACACGUAUCCAACCUGCCCUUUACUCGGGGAUAGCCUUUCGAAAGAAAGAUUAAUACCCGAUAGUAUAAUGAUUCCGCAUGGUUUCAUUAUUAAAGGAUUCCGGUAAAGGAUGGGGAUGCGUUCCAUUAGGUUGUUGGUGAGGUAACGGCUCACCAAGCCUUCGAUGGAUAGGGGUUCUGAGAGGAAGGUCCCCCACAUUGGAACUGAGACACGGUCCAAACUCCUACGGGAGGCAGCAGUGAGGAAUAUUGGUCAAUGGGCGCUAGCCUGAACCAGCCAAGUAGCGUGAAGGAUGAAGGCUCUAUGGGUCGUAAACUUCUUUUAUAUAAGAAUAAAGUGCAGUAUGUAUACUGUUUUGUAUGUAUUAUAUGAAUAAGGAUCGGCUAACUCCGUGCCAGCAGCCGCGGUAAUACGGAGGAUCCGAGCGUUAUCCGGAUUUAUUGGGUUUAAAGGGAGCGUAGGUGGACUGGUAAGUCAGUUGUGAAAGUUUGCGGCUCAACCGUAAAAUUGCAGUUGAUACUGUCAGUCUUGAGUACAGUAGAGGUGGGCGGAAUUCGUGGUGUAGCGGUGAAAUGCUUAGAUAUCACGAAGAACUCCGAUUGCGAAGGCAGCUCACUGGACUGCAACUGACACUGAUGCUCGAAAGUGUGGGUAUCAAACAGGAUUAGAUACCCUGGUAGUCCACACAGUAAACGAUGAAUACUCGCUGUUUGCGAUAUACAGUAAGCGGCCAAGCGAAAGCAUUAAGUAUUCCACCUGGGGAGUACGCCGGCAACGGUGAAACUCAAAGGAAUUGACGGGGGCCCGCACAAGCGGAGGAACAUGUGGUUUAAUUCGAUGAUACGCGAGGAACCUUACCCGGGCUUAAAUUGCAGUGGAAUGAUGUGGAAACAUGUCAGUGAGCAAUCACCGCUGUGAAGGUGCUGCAUGGUUGUCGUCAGCUCGUGCCGUGAGGUGUCGGCUUAAGUGCCAUAACGAGCGCAACCCUUAUCUUUAGUUACUAACAGGUUAUGCUGAGGACUCUAGAGAGACUGCCGUCGUAAGAUGUGAGGAAGGUGGGGAUGACGUCAAAUCAGCACGGCCCUUACGUCCGGGGCUACACACGUGUUACAAUGGGGGGUACAGAAGGCAGCUAGCGGGUGACCGUAUGCUAAUCCCAAAAGCCUCUCUCAGUUCGGAUCGAAGUCUGCAACCCGACUUCGUGAAGCUGGAUUCGCUAGUAAUCGCGCAUCAGCCACGGCGCGGUGAAUACGUUCCCGGGCCUUGUACACACCGCCCGUCAAGCCAUGGGAGCCGGGGGUACCUGAAGUACGUAACCGCAAGGAUCGUCCUAGGGUAAAACUGGUGACUGGGGCUAAGUCGUAACAAGGUAGCCGUACCGGAAGGUGCGGCUGGAACACCU